GAUCUCUUGAAACAACAGAAUGUUUAAUAAAGAUUUUUAACUUUCCUAAUAGUAAAAUUACAAUUAUUACUAAACAUACCUACAUACACUUUCUACAUCUAAUUUUGUUUAUUGAUCACAUUCAUUUACUUGAAAAAGUAUCAGGCCUAUGAAUCGUCGUCUGCUAACCACACACCAACCUUCAUUGCGUGUGAUGG
This is a long non-coding RNA of Zophobas morio, 197 nucleotides long. RefSeq lists it as uncharacterized. The transcript is spliced from 2 exons. Lineage: Eukaryota; Metazoa; Arthropoda; Insecta; Coleoptera; Tenebrionidae. The record is from RefSeq and is a predicted model, not a curated record.